Molecule: long non-coding RNA, 207 nt
Filed under: Ictidomys tridecemlineatus (thirteen-lined ground squirrel)
Lineage: Eukaryota; Metazoa; Chordata; Mammalia; Rodentia; Sciuridae
Description: lncRNA (ENSSTOG00000031033.1)
Source: RNAcentral
GAUGGGCAGUGAAGAAGAGCGAGGUACCAAGGUCGGAGAGCCGAGAUGGGGACGGCGACCGACCUCAGGCACAUCAGCGCGGGAGUCAGAAGCGCACGGGAAGGCAGCGGAAGGACCUGGGGUCCAAGCUUCUGCCCUAUAUGAUGCUCCCCUUGUUCCUGCUCCUCUUUGUGGGGCUCCCACUUGUGGAAUCCAAUUUUACCAACG